GCGGGUGUAGCAUAACGGUUAGUGCACUUGCUUCCCAAGCAAGAGACGAGGGUUCAACUCCCUUUACCCGCU
Molecule: transfer RNA, 72 nt
Filed under: Parcubacteria bacterium DG_74_2
Lineage: Bacteria; Candidatus Parcubacteria
Also listed under: 1 other name
Description: tRNA-Gly
Rfam family: tRNA
About the family: Transfer RNA (tRNA) molecules are approximately 80 nucleotides in length. Their secondary structure includes four short double-helical elements and three loops (D, anti-codon, and T loops). Further hydrogen bonds mediate the characteristic L-shaped molecular structure. tRNAs have two regions of fundamental functional importance: the anti-codon, which is responsible for specific mRNA codon recognition, and the 3' end, to which the tRNAs corresponding amino acid is attached (by aminoacyl-tRNA synthetases). tRNAs cope with the degeneracy of the genetic code in two manners: having more than one tRNA (with a specific anti-codon) for a particular amino acid; and 'wobble' base-pairing, i.e. permitting non-standard base-pairing at the 3rd anti-codon position.
Source: RNAcentral